This 501-nucleotide ribosomal RNA is filed under the name bacterium PT10. Its description in RNAcentral is "bacterial SSU rRNA". It matches the Rfam family "Bacterial small subunit ribosomal RNA", at positions 1 to 503 of the family's 1533-position model. The record is from RNAcentral.
UAGAGUUUGAUCAUGGCUCAGAUUGAACGCUGGCGGCAGGCCUAACACAUGCAAGUCGAGCGGAUGAAGAGAGCUUGCUCUCUGAUUCAGCGGCGGACGGGUGAGUAAUGCCUAGGAAUCUGCCUGGUAGUGGGGGACAACGUUUCGAAAGGAACGCUAAUACCGCAUACGUCCUACGAGAGAAAGUGGGGGAUCUUCGGACCUCACGCUAUCAGAUGAGCCUAGGUCGGAUUAGCUAGUUGGUGGGGUAAAGGCCUACCAAGGCGACGAUCCGUAACUGGUCUGAGAGGAUGAUCAGUCACACUGGAACUGAGACACGGUCCAGACUCCUACGGGAGGCAGCAGUGGGGAAUAUUGGACAAUGGGCGAAAGCCUGAUCCAGCCAUGCCGCGUGUGUGAAGAAGGUCUUCGGAUUGUAAAGCACUUUAAGUUGGGAGGAAGGGCAGUAAGUUAAUACCUUGCUGUUUUGACGUUACCGACAGAAUAAGCACCGGCUAAUUC